RNAcentral lists this transfer RNA (67 nucleotides) under Marmota monax (woodchuck). RNAcentral describes it as "tRNA.Thr". Lineage: Eukaryota; Metazoa; Chordata; Mammalia; Rodentia; Sciuridae. The record is from RNAcentral.
GGAUUGUGGCUCAGCGGUAGAGCACUCUCCUAGUACAGGCAGGACCCGGGUUCGAUUCUCAGCACCA